UCCUAUUCUUUCUCCCGAACCCCUCUUUUCUGCCCGAUCCCUUCUUCCCCGACUCCUCUCCCUCGCGAUCCGGUUUCAUCGCUGAUCGCCGGCUAGCAACGCCGAUCGUCGGCCGUCGCGAGUUCACCGCCGAUGGAGGGCUACUUCUCCACCGUUCCUCACCUCCGCCACUUGAUCUUCCCCUCCACGAAUUUGCCGAUCCUUUCUCCCUCAUCGUUGUGCCCUAGAUUUGCUGAUGCGGAGUCUCGCGCGAGCUCCAUCUUCCUCGAUCCAUCUCCACUACCGACGUCGCUUGAUGCCGUGCUGCCGGCGGACAUCGCCCGAUCGCAUCAGCCUUGUUGUCGCCUGCGCAGGAGGAUCUUCGACAGGGGAAAACCGAGCCCUAGCAUCGAACUUCGCUCGCGAUCAACCCGCUGUCGGUCAAGCCUUCUUCGCUGAUCCUAUCUUUUGUCGAUCCCCUCCCGAGCCUUGCCUCCUCCACAGAGUAGACCCACCUCUAGAUUUUUGUUGCAUCGUCGGAACAACAGAUUCUAGCCAAGAAGGUAUGCUUGCAUCCUUACCUUUUUCCUCCUCUCUGUUCUAUUCGACUGCCACCACCAGGGGUGAUCAAUCUAGGUAAGUUCAUCUGGAAUCUUGAAGAUUCAUUGAUGAUGGUCUAAUUAGUUUCCUUUGUGAUGUUCUUCCUAAUGCUGGACUCGUGGGAGGCAUAGGAACAGCUCCUUGAUGGAUUUCCUCUGGGCAGAUUACUGGUCUCUAUAUUCUUAUGACUGGGGUCUUGGGUAGCUCUCGGGUGAAGAGGAAUUCUUGGUGGUUGUGUGCAGAGAUUGGUAGAGGGCUGUUGAGUUACUGGAUUUUUUUGCCUCCCUCAAGGACUUUGAUCUGGACGAGCAGCGUGACGUGAGGUGGUUCUGUUGGAUACGGACUUUUAAAGGCGGG
Molecule: long non-coding RNA, 936 nt
Organism: Zingiber officinale
Lineage: Eukaryota; Viridiplantae; Streptophyta; Magnoliopsida; Zingiberales; Zingiberaceae
Exons: 4
Source: RefSeq, a predicted model, not a curated record